AGAGUUUUAUCCUGGCUCAGGAUGAACGCUAGCGACAGGCUUAACACAUGCAAGUCGAGGGGCAGCAGGGGAGUAGCAAUACUCCCGCUGGCGACCGGCGCACGGGUGAGUAACACGUAUGCAACCUGCCCUUGUCAGGGGGAUAAGCGGAAGAAAUUCCGUCUAAUACCGCAUAACGCUGCGGGGAGACAUCUCCCUGCAGCCAAAGAUUUAUCGGACAAGGAUGGGCAUGCGGCGCAUUAGCUUGUUGGCGGGGUAACGGCCCACCAAGGCGACGAUGCGUAGGGGUUCUGAGAGGAAGGUCCCCCACACUGGUACUGAGACACGGACCAGACUCCUACGGGAGGCAGCAGUGAGGAAUAUUGGUCAAUGGCCGGGAGGCUGAACCAGCCAAGUCGCGUGAGGGAAGACGGUCCUAUGGAUUGUAAACCUCUUUUGUCAGGGAGCAAAAACUGCCACGCGUGGCAGGAUGAGAGUACCUGAAGAAAAAGCAUCGGCUAACUCCGUGCCAGCAGCCGCGGUAAUACGGAGGAUGCGAGCGUUAUCCGGAUUUAUUGGGUUUAAAGGGUCCGUAGGCGGACAGUUAAGUCAGCGGUAAAAUUGAGAGGCUCAACCUCUUCCCGCCGUUGAAACUGAUUGUCUUGAGUGGGCGAGAAGUAUGCGGAAUGCGUGGUGUAGCGGUGAAAUGCAUAGAUAUCACGCAGAACUCCGAUUGCGAAGGCAGCAUACCGGCGCCCAACUGUCGCUGAAGCACGAAAGCGUGGGUAUCGAACAGGAUUAGAUACCCUGGUAGUCCACGCAGUAAACGAUGAAUACUAAUUGUUCGGGUCGAGUGAGAUCUGAGUGAUACAGCGAAAGCGUUAAGUAUUCCACCUGGGGAGUACGCCGGCAACGGUGAAACUCAAAGGAAUUGACGGGGGCCCGCACAAGCGGAGGAACAUGUGGUUUAAUUCGAUGAUACGCGAGGAACCUUACCCGGGCUCAAACGACACAGGAAUGAUCUGAGAAAUCAGGCAGUCCUUCGGGACCUGUGUCGAGGUGCUGCAUGGUUGUCGUCAGCUCGUGCCGUGAGAUGUCGGCUUAAGUGCCAUAACGAGCGCAACCCCCAUCGACAGUUGCCAGCAGGUCAAGCUGGGCACUCUGUCGAGACUGCCGGCGCAAGCUGUGAGGAAGGCGGGGAUGACGUCAAAUCAGCACGGCCCUUACGUCCGGGGCGACACACGUGUUACAAUGGCAGGUACAGCGGGAAGCCACCUGGCGACAGGGAGCGGAACCCGAAAGCCUGUCUCAGUUCGGAUUGGAGUCUGCAACUCGACUCCAUGAAGCUGGAUUCGCUAGUAAUCGCGCAUCAGCCACGGCGCGGUGAAUACGUUCCCGGGCCUUGCACACACCGCCCGUCA
This 1400-nucleotide ribosomal RNA is filed under the name uncultured bacterium. RNAcentral describes it as "16S ribosomal RNA". It matches the Rfam family "Bacterial small subunit ribosomal RNA". The record is from RNAcentral.